RNAcentral lists this ribosomal RNA (200 nucleotides) under uncultured bacterium. Its description in RNAcentral is "partial 16S ribosomal RNA". It matches the Rfam family "Bacterial small subunit ribosomal RNA", at positions 29 to 218 of the family's 1533-position model. The record is from RNAcentral.
AGCGAACGCUGGCGGCGUGCUUAACACAUGCAAGUCGAACGUGAACGGAGCAAUCCUAGUAAAGUGGCGUACGGGUGAGUAACACGUAGAUAAUCUACCCUAGAGUUCGGAAUAACCUGCCGAAAGGCGGGCUAAUACUGGAUAGAGCGACGGAAGCCGUAAACGGUUUUUUCGGGAAAGGGAGCUUGAUAAGAGCCCUC